Molecule: ribosomal RNA, 1386 nt
Filed under: Klebsormidium delicatum
Lineage: Eukaryota; Viridiplantae; Streptophyta; Klebsormidiophyceae; Klebsormidiales; Klebsormidiaceae
Description: bacterial SSU rRNA
Rfam family: Eukaryotic small subunit ribosomal RNA (bases 1-317)
Source: RNAcentral
GUUUAUAACCUGGGCCGAAAGGUCUGGGUAAUCUUGUGAAAUUUCAUCGUGAUGGGGAUAGAUUAUUGCAAUUAUUAAUCUUCAACGAGGAAUGCCUAGUAAGCGCGAGUCAUCAGCUCGCGUUGAUUACGUCCCUGCCCUUUGUACACACCGCCCGUCGCUCCUACCGAUUGAAUGAUCCGGUGAAGUUUUCGGAUUGCGGCUACUCCGGCGGUCCGCCGCCGAAGAAGCUGUGAGAAGUUCAUUAAACCUUAUCAUUUAGAGGAAGGAGAAGUCGUAACAAGGUUUCCGUAGGUGAACCUGCGGAAGGAUCAUUGACACACAUCCUAACCGAUGCUUGUGCCAACAAGCAGACCCAGCGAACCAUUCUCCUACCACUUGAGGGGCUGCAUCGCGAGGUGCAGCUGUCGACGGUCGGGCCCUAGUUUUAUCGGGGCCGGAGUCCUUGCUGGGCUCACCGUUGCGGGUGAGCAUCGGCCGUUCGACGGGGGCCGCUCUUGGGCCUCGCACACGGGAGAGUGCGAGGGCGGCGUUUCCCACUCCAGCUGUCCCUUCGGGGGCGGCUGCGCAACCAACCAAACACAAUGCAAAAACCGACUAAAGACCGAUCCUUUGCGGGGCGCUCUUCGGGGAGCUCCGCUUUCGAUCAAAAACAAACUAAAGACAACUCUCAACAACGGAUAUCUUGGCUCUCGCAACGAUGAAGAACGCAGCGAAAUGCGAUACGUAGUGUGAAUUGCAGAAUUCCGUGAAUCAUCGAAUCUUUGAACGCAUAUUGCGCCCGCGGCCUCGGCCAAGGGCAUGUCUGCCUGAGCGUCAUUAUAACACCUCACACCCAUUGCGGGUUGUGGAUCUGGCCGUCCGGGCUCCUGGAGCGUGGUUGGCUGAAAGGUAGAUGCAAAGCCAGCAGCCCAUUCAACGGCAAGGCGUGGUAGACCGCAUCGCGGGCGAUCGUCGUGCCGGGGCUGAUUGCGGCUUUUGCAUUAGCAGGAACCGCCGCUCCCGACGGACUUCGGUCCUGAAGGUGUCGGCCUUGACCCAUUGACCUCAGAUCAGGCAAGAUUACCCGCCGAAUUUAAGCAUAUUACUAAGCGGAGGAAAAGAAACUAACAAGGAUUCCCCUAGUAACGGCGAGCGAACCGGGAAGAGCCCAACUUGAAAAUCUGGCAGCUUCGCUGUCCGAAUUGUAGUCUAAAGAAGCGUCCUCUGUAGCGGACCGGGCCCAAGUUCCCUGGAAUGGGACGUCAGAGAGGGUGAGAGCCCCGUCGACCCCGGACCCUGCUACUCCACGAGGCGCUGUCGCCGAGUCGGGUUGUUUGGGAAUGCAGCCCUAAAUGGGUGGUAAAUUCCAUCUAAGGCUAAAUACUGGCGAGAGACCGAUAGCGA